GAGAUGACAUCUCGACCUCCAUUUGAUUCUAAAACUCUCUAAGUUUGCAAUGGAAUGCAGUGUUGGGUAAUACAGAAAUAAAAACAUCUAUCAAGAAGGCAUUUUAAAAAUUAGAAUUUGUAAUUCUUAGAAAAUUUCCCAGGAAGUUAUCAGUAAAAUAUCUAUAAUGUAUUAUUACCCUUAUUCAUAAUGCUUAUUUUAAAAUGAUGUCUACAGAUGGUUGCUGACUUAACAACAGUUUGACUUAUGAUUUUUUGACUUUCAGGACAUAAUCCCAUCAUAAGUGGACAAGCAUCUGGACUUUUAUGCCUGGCACAAAUACAAAUGCUUUUGUAUUUGUAUAUGACUUACAUAGUGCAUCUUAUUGUAAUUAUUGUAUACACGGAUCUCUUCUCUACUAGCCUUGUGCUCCUUCUUAGCAGUCUCCAGUAUUUGUUAUAGCAGCACAAAACAGAUGGACUAAGACAGACAUCUGAUGAGUUUAACACAGUACCUUGCACAUGAUGUCUUGAAAAAGCUUUCUGGGUUUAGACAUGGAAGAUUGGAAAUUGGAGGACAAGAAGCCUGGAUAUAGCUACCCCUCUCUUUUUCUCUGGAUUGGGGAGAGCCCCUUCUCGCAGUGAGUAUGUCUAGUCAUAGUGAUAGCUUUUGCAGGACUGGCCAUCUAUCACUGUUCCAGCCCUCCCUCAGCACCCUCUUUUUUUUUUUUUUUUUUUUUUGGUCUCUUUGGGCCUAGAGGUGGUUACAGCCUUCUUCUGUUGCUAAUUUCUGGGUUUUUCAGCUCUUCCAAACAGCUAUCCAGUAUGCAAGUCUUUCUGUUGGCUUAACUGGCAUGAACUCUGAUGUUCACAAUAGGGUAUUCAGGAAUUUUAGCAAUUUAAAUAGAUAAGCAGAAACCUUUGUGUUUUUAUUUCUGUGUAGAAGGUACAUAGCAGAUAAUACAGAAGUUUCUGAAAUUUUUUUCCUUUGAGUACGGGGAGUAAUGCUUUAUUUCUUAGAUCACUUCUAAGGAUUUAGGUGCUUUAGACAAGGAUUUAUGUUGCUCUAACUUUUCUCUUAUCAAAAUUCCCUUGCCCCUUCUCUGUAGCUGAAAAUUUGCAUAACCACACUUUUAUAGUUGAUGGGUAAAAGGGCAGAGGAGAGAGAAUGUAGAGCCUCUGAACAUCCCGCUUGUCAGCUCAGAGACUCUACUUCAACCUCAGGUACUUCUGAGUUGAUUUUUAACUUUCCUGGAAUAAGGAGUAGCUUUUCUCAAAAAGGGGUGGGAGUUUUGGUGAACUGGUAAGAGAGCAUUUGUUACAAACAGAGGAGGGGACCCAUCAUAGCUGUGAAAGAUCUUUCUUCUCCUGAACUGAUCUUUUCUUUCAUAGGGAAGUAUAUUAAAAGUAUUGAUUUAUACAAUGAGAAUGUUAUCAAUAGUGAGCUGCUCAGAGUGUUCUGGAUAUAUGUACUACUAAUCUUAAGCAAAGAAAGUGCCAGAAGUAGUGGCCAAGAACACCAGGUUCUUGUUUACUGUUAUCUGAUUGAUGUACUCCCAGGGGCUGGAUUGAGUGCAUUUGCUGCCUCCAGGAUAUAUUUUUGAUUGCCUCUAAUUCCUGUAGGCUCUUUUGAAAGAACACAAAGUCAGAUAAACGGGCAAUGGUGAUUUCAGCCAGAGGAGGACUAAUGCCUUCCAUUUAAUAGUAUAAUUCUUGAUAGAAUAGGAUGCUUUUUGGAGAUAAAGGGCCAAGGGACCACACCUAUUAAUUCCCAAGAUGCUCUAGAUUUAUAGCCAAAUAAAUUCUUGCAGUAAAGGGAAACUCAAUAACAACAACAACAAAAUUCUCCCAAUUUUCAAUGAGAUGAUAUUUCCUGCCAGUAACUUCAUAACUUUCACAUAACUUAAAUUUAUGGUUUGAGAUAAUUUUUUGAAGGGAAAAAUAAAUUGCUACUAAAUUUUGGCAUAGGUCUUAUGGUUUUUUGGACAUAUUCUGUAAACAUUGUUAUAAAGAUUAUUUAGAAAAUUCUUCACAGCUCUACAUGUAUAUAUGUAUUUUUACCAUUUUCAUUGCCAAAAUAAACUAGCCCAGGGUCAACAGAUGUCUUUCAGUCUCAGUCUUUUUUGGUGUUGUUUUAAACAUUUCCUUAGAAUCUUAUCUGGGGAAGUCUUCCAGAAGACCAGUGGUGGUUUUAUUGAAUUAAAGGCUUAGAGGCUAAAGUUCAGCUCAGUAAACAUUUGUUUAUUAUCUACUUUGUGCCAGUGAUUUAGGAUAUUUAAGAUGAGUAAGGGAAGUUCCCAGGAGAGUGGGUUUUCUAAUUUUAGCUUUUAUCAGAAUCACCUGGAGAACUUGUUACACCAUGGAUUGCUGGGCCCCACUCCCAGAGUUUCUGAUUCAACAGGUCUAAAGAGGGGACUAAAAAUUUGCAUACCUAAGACUUUGCCAAGUGAUGUUGAUGCAGGCAGUCUGUGGAUCAUGAAAAAAAUCCAAAAAAUAGAUGAUUAAAUUGUGACAUAUAUGCUUAAGAAUUCACAAGGAUACACAAGGUGGGAUUAAUGAGAGUGUGAUUAAGUGUAUUGUAGGAGGGAGGUGGUGAUCAGGGAAAGAUUCUGGCCAAGAGUGACACCUGAGCAGGAUUUGGAAGUGUAGUUGGAAUUCAGAGAGAAACAAUAUGGGAUGGAGAAGGAAUUUUUGUUCAGUAGCAAUGUACAGAAAUGUACAGAGGCGUGACAGAGUAUGAUUUAUUCAUUCAUUCAACACAUUUUAGAUAACUAUCAAUUACAUCUUGAGAAUAAGGUGGUAACAAAUGUGUUUGCAGAAACACUCACUAGCAGAUGACUUGUCUGGAGCAUUAGUAGCAAUGUGGAAUGAUAAGAGAUGGACCUGGAAAAAUGGUCCGGGGGGCCAUUAGUGACUUGUAGAUGACAUAGGCCAUACUAAGGAGCUUGGAUUUUAACUUGUAGAUAAUGCAGAGUAUUUUGGUAAGAUCACUCUGGCAGCAAUGCAGAGGAUGCAUUUGAGGAAGACAGAACAUUCUAAUACUGGGGUAAGAGAGACCAGAAAGAAGGCUAUUGCAAUAAUCUGGGCAAGGGAUGAUAAAGGACCCAGCAAAGUUUGUGAGUGAGCCAUAUGACAUUUAAACAUAGGUUUAAUGCAUUUUUCCCCUCCAUAAGCCCUCCACCUGUCUCCCUCUCUCAUUAGAAUGAUAAUUGUUUUGAGGUUAGGUGUUAAUUUUAGAUCAAAUGUUGUAUGGCUAUACAUGGGCUCAAUCAGUAUGAAGGAAAGUUACUCUUAUAUAAACACCUAAGCAAGUAACAGGAAAUAAGUUAGUCAAUUAGGGAAACAAAUUUGACUAGGUAUUUUAUGAAUGUCUUAAGAGCCAUCUUUGAAUAAGUUAUUUCCUGUUAAGCUGUUGUAUUUAAGUUUAGCCAGUAGCUCUACUGGCAUUGUAAAUUUAAAACUGUCUUCAGAUAUUGUGGAAUAGUUUGGGGCAUUGGUAAAAUUUUAUAUAGAAUACAGAACACAGAGCCUGGUUUUUCUUCUGCUAACCCCAUGGAAUAUCCAAUCAAGAUGGAUUUCUGGCCUCCAUAACUGAGAAAAUACAUUUCUGUUGUUUAAAACACCUGGUCUGUGGAACUUUGUUACUGCAGCCCUGGCACAGCUGAGAAGUUGAUUUUUCACCAACCAGGCUGAUACCAUGAUUUUGAUCUUGGGAGACCACGUGGAAUUCUGAUCUACAGAUCUGUGAAAUAAUAGAUGGAUGUUUUAAGCUGAUAAAUUUGUGAUAUUCUGUUAUGCAGCAAUAGAAAACUAUAUAAACUAUA
Molecule: long non-coding RNA, 3802 nt
Filed under: Homo sapiens (human)
Lineage: Eukaryota; Metazoa; Chordata; Mammalia; Primates; Hominidae
Description: HSALNT0073537
Source: RNAcentral